UGGGGAAUAUUGGACAAUGGGCGCAAGCCUGAUCCAGCCAUGCCGCGUGAGUGAUGAAGGCCCUAGGGUUGUAAAGCUCUUUCACCGGUGAAGAUAAUGACGGUAACCGGAGAAGAAGCCCCGGCUAACUUCGUGCCAGCAGCCGCGGUAAUACGAAGGGGGCUAGCGUUGUUCGGAUUUACUGGGCGUAAAGCGCACGUAGGCGGACUAUUAAGUCAGGGAUGAAAUCCCGGGGCUCAACCCCGGAACUGCCUUUGAUACUGGUAGUCUUGAGUUCGAGAGAGGUGAGUGGAAUUCCGAGUGUAGAGGUGAAAUUCGUAGAUAUUCGGAGGAACACCAGUGGCGAAGGCGGCUCACUGGCUCGAUACUGACGCUGAGGUGCGAAAGCGUGGGGAGCAAACAGG
Molecule: ribosomal RNA, 404 nt
Filed under: Actinomycetes bacterium
Lineage: Bacteria; Bacillati; Actinomycetota; Actinomycetes
Description: Actinobacteria bacterium partial 16S ribosomal RNA
Rfam family: Bacterial small subunit ribosomal RNA
Source: RNAcentral